ACAUUCCUUACUCUGUUGUUUAUCGUUUCUGAUCCUCCCCAAAUGAUAGAUUUAUCAUCCCGCUUUUGUUCUCUACCACAUUUAACGACAGCAUCAUCUCAGCGGCAGUGGCUCAGCGAUGACAUUUUGGUCUUGAGAGGGAUCCACCUGAAGUAGUAGUGGAUAUUAGGUCUGAUGAGAAGUUUGUGAUAGAUUUGAAUUAAAGGGUUAUCAGGUUUAUGAUGAUGUUGAUGAUGUACGGAACUUAGUAGGAUGCCUAGAAACGCAUUUUAAUCUUUAAUACUUGUUGUAUUGCAAUUCAUUUGUUUCAACUUGUUGUAUUUCUAUUUCAAACUAUGUAAUUUGAUUCUUUUAGCAAUGAAAUGAAAUCU
This 371-nucleotide long non-coding RNA is filed under the name Helianthus annuus (common sunflower). Its description in RNAcentral is "hypothetical non coding rna". The record is from RNAcentral. Lineage: Eukaryota; Viridiplantae; Streptophyta; Magnoliopsida; Asterales; Asteraceae.